Molecule: ribosomal RNA, 292 nt
Filed under: uncultured bacterium
Lineage: Bacteria
Description: partial 16S ribosomal RNA
Rfam family: Bacterial small subunit ribosomal RNA
Source: RNAcentral
GUGUCAGCAGCCGCGGUAAUACAGAGGGUGCAAGCGUUAAUCGGAAUUACUGGGCGUAAAGGGUGCGUAGGUGGACGCAUAAGUCGGAUGUGAAAUCCCUGGGCUUAACCUAGGAACUGCAUUCGAUACUGUGAGUCUAGAGUAUGGUAGAGGUAAGUGGAAUUUCCGGUGUAGCGGUGAAAUGCGUAGAUAUCGGAAGGAACAUCAGUGGCGAAGGCGACUUACUGGACUGAUACUGACACUGAGGCACGAAAGCGUGGGGAGCAAACAGGAUUAGAUACCCGCGUAGUCC